GACGAACGCUGGCGGCGUGCUUAACACAUGCAAGUCGAACGGAAAGGCCCUGCUUUUGUGGGGUGCUCGAGUGGCGAACGGGUGAGUAACACGUGAGUAACCUGCCCUUGACUUUGGGAUAACUUCAGGAAACUGGGGCUAAUACCGGAUAGGAGCUCCUGCUGCAUGGUGGGGGUUGGAAAGUGUCGGCGGUUGGGGAUGGACUCGCGGCUUAUCAGCUUGUUGGUGGGGUAGUGGCUUACCAAGGCUUUGACGGGUAGCCGGCCUGAGAGGGGGACCGGCGACAAUGGGACUAAGAGACGGACCAGACUCCAACGGGACGCAGAAGUGGGGAAUAUUGCGCAGUGAGCGGGAGCCUAAUGCAGCGACGCCGCGUGCGGGAAGACGGCCUUCGGGGUGUGAACCGCUUUCGCCUGUGACGAAGCGUGAGUGACGGUAAUGGGUAAAGAAGCACCGGCUAACUACGUG
This 468-nucleotide ribosomal RNA is filed under the name uncultured bacterium. RNAcentral's name for it is "partial 16S ribosomal RNA". It matches the Rfam family "Bacterial small subunit ribosomal RNA", at positions 28 to 507 of the family's 1533-position model. The record is from RNAcentral.